RNAcentral lists this microRNA (23 nucleotides) under Gallus gallus (chicken). RNAcentral's name for it is "gga-miR-12282-3p". The record is from miRBase by way of RNAcentral. Lineage: Eukaryota; Metazoa; Chordata; Aves; Galliformes; Phasianidae.
UUCUCCUCCCUUCGCACGGCGCA